This 538-nucleotide ribosomal RNA is filed under the name uncultured bacterium. Its description in RNAcentral is "bacterial SSU rRNA". It matches the Rfam family "Bacterial small subunit ribosomal RNA", at positions 932 to 1471 of the family's 1533-position model. The record is from RNAcentral.
GUGGAGCAUGUGUUUAAUUCGAAGCAACGCGAAGAACUUACCUGGGCUUGACAUGCAUGAGUAAGCCGGUGAAACACCGGCCUCCUUCGGGACUCAUGCACAGGUGCUGCAUGGCUGUCGCCAGCUCGUGUCGUGAGAUGUUGGGUUAAGUCCCGCAACGAGCGCAACCCUCGUCCCUAGUUACCAGCGGGUAAAGCCGGGAACUCUAGGGAGACUGCCGGUGUCAAACCGGAGGAAGGUGGGGACGACGUCAAGUCAUCAUGGCCCUUACGCCCAGGGCUACACACGUGCUACAAUGGCCGGUACAGCGUGUUGCCAACUCGCGAGAGUGCGCUAAUCACGAAAAGCCGGUCUAAGUUCGGAUUGUAGUCUGCAACUCGACUACAUGAAGCCGGAAUCGCUAGUAAUCGCGGAUCAGCUACGCCGCGGUGAAUACGUUCCCGGGCCUUGUACACACCGCCCGUCACGCCAUGGAAGCUGGGGGGACCUGAAGUCGGUGGGCUAACCGCAAGGAGGCAGCCGCCAAAGGUCAAUUCAG